ACAGCUGAAUCAGGUGCACCUCCUGCCAACAGCUUGCCUACCCGGCGGUGCAGGACAGCUGAAUCAGGUGCACCUCCUGCCAACAGCUUGCCUACCCGGCGGUGCAGGACAGCUGAAUCAGGUGCACCUCCUGCCAACAGCUAGCCUACCCGGCGGUGCAGGACAGCUGAAUCAGGUGCACCUCCUGCCAACAGCUUGCCUACCCGGCGGUGCAGGACAGCUGAAUCAGGUGCACCUCCUGCCAACAGCUUGCCUACCCGGCGGUGCAGGACAGCUGAAUCAGGUGCACCUCCUGCCAACAGCUUGCCUACCCGGCGGUGCAGGACAGCUGAAUCAGGUGCACCUCCUGCCAACAGCUUGCCUACCCGGCGGUGCAGGACAGCUGAAUCAGGUGCACCUCCUGCCAACAGCUUGCCUACCCGGCGGUGCAGGACAGCUGAAUCAGGUGCACCUCCUGCCAACAGCUUGCCUACCCGGCGGUGCA
Long non-coding RNA from Oncorhynchus keta (chum salmon), 484 nucleotides. RefSeq lists it as uncharacterized. The record is from RefSeq and is a predicted model, not a curated record. The transcript has 4 exons. Lineage: Eukaryota; Metazoa; Chordata; Actinopteri; Salmoniformes; Salmonidae.